Molecule: ribosomal RNA, 491 nt
Filed under: uncultured bacterium
Lineage: Bacteria
Description: partial 16S ribosomal RNA
Rfam family: Bacterial small subunit ribosomal RNA
Source: RNAcentral
GAUGAACGCUAGCGAUAGGCUUAACACAUGCAAGUCGAGGGGUAACGUGUUGGAAGCUUGCUUCCGAUGACGACGACCGGCGGAUGGGUGCGUAACGCGUAUGCAACUUGCCUCACAGUGGAGAAUAACCCGGAGAAAUCCGGACUAAUACUCCAUACACUCUUAAGUACGCCUGUACAUGAGAGGAAAGAUUUAUCGCUGUGAGAUAGGCAUGCGUCCUAUUAGGUAGUUGGUGAGGUAACGGCUCACCAAGCCGACGAUAGGUAGGGGUGCUGAGAGGCAGAUCCCCCACAUUGGGACUGAGACACGGCCCAAACUGCUACGGGAGGCAGCAGUGAGGAAUAUUGGUCAAUGGAGGAAACUCUGAACCAGCCAAGUCGCGUGAAGGAAGAAUGUCCUAAGGAUUGUAAACUUCUUUAGCGAGCGAGUAAGGACUUCCACGUGAUGGGAGUUUGAAAGUAGCUCGAGAAUAAGUAUCGGCUAACUCCGUG